RNAcentral lists this ribosomal RNA (612 nucleotides) under Cryobacterium sp. a7. Its description in RNAcentral is "bacterial SSU rRNA". It matches the Rfam family "Bacterial small subunit ribosomal RNA", at positions 70 to 696 of the family's 1533-position model. The record is from RNAcentral. Lineage: Bacteria; Bacillati; Actinomycetota; Actinomycetes; Micrococcales; Microbacteriaceae.
GAAGAGGAGCUUGCUUCUUGGAUCAGUGGCGAACGGGUGAGUAACACGUGAGUAACCUGCCCCAAACUCUGGGAUAAGCACUGGAAACGGUGUCUAAUACCGGAUACGAGCUUCAGCCGCAUGGCUAGGAGUUGGAAAGAAUUUCGGUUUGGGAUGGACUCGCGGCCUAUCAGCUAGUUGGUGAGGUAAUGGCUCACCAAGGCGACGACGGGUAGCCGGCCUGAGAGGGUGACCGGCCACACUGGGACUGAGACACGGCCCAGACUCCUACGGGAGGCAGCAGUGGGGAAUAUUGCACAAUGGGCGCAAGCCUGAUGCAGCAACGCCGCGUGAGGGACGACGGCCUUCGGGUUGUAAACCUCUUUUAGUAGGGAAGAAGCGAAAGUGACGGUACCUGCAGAAAAAGCACCGGCUAACUACGUGCCAGCAGCCGCGGUAAUACGUAGGGUGCAAGCGUUGUCCGGAAUUAUUGGGCGUAAAGAGCUCGUAGGCGGUUUGUCGCGUCUGCUGUGAAAACCCGAGGCUCAACCUCGGGCCUGCAGUGGGUACGGGCAGACUAGAGUGCGGUAGGGGAGAUUGGAAUUCCUGGUGUAGCGGUGGAAUGCGCAGAUA